GUGUGAUUUCUUAGUUGCUAAUUGAAUCCUUCUUCCAUUGAGUUCAUAGUGUGUUGCUCAUUUGUGGAAUCAAUUGAGUCUUCUUUUGAAUUCAAAUAGUUUAGGUUCUAGGGUUGAAUUCCAAUUGGAAGGGAUUGAGUUUCAUAUACCCAAUCUUAUCCAUAGAAUCAUUACUCUAAGGUUCUAGGUCAUUACUUUAAGGGUCUAGCUUCUAUCCUCUAAUUCCCUCAUCCCCAAUUCUAAUAUAUCCUUUCAAUUUUCGCUUUGUUUUAUUUGAUUUCUAGAGUUUCCCAUCUAGGAUCUUAUCAAUGAUUCAGAGAAAAGAGAUGGUGGUUCAUAGAAAGAUGGUAAAAAUAGCAGUUGCAGAGUGGUUAGAUUAUGAAAAGGCAUGCUCCAGAUAUUUCAAUUGUUUUAGUUGGAAUACCACAAAGAUCAUGCAAAUGAUGCUAAAGCAAUUGCCUAUAGAAAGUGUAACACUCAAGAUGAAAGGAGGGUUCAACAUGGUAUAAACACAGUUGCCGAGUUGUUGUAGGCUGUAUGCUUAGGAUAAUUUGUUCUAGCUUCUAGUUUUCCAUCACUCUUUUUCCUAUUUGGUUAAGGUGAUGAUUUACCUGGAGUAGAAUCUUAGUUUCAUAAUUAUACUUCAGCGUUUAAAGUUGUAUUCGAAAUUUAAAGAACACCUAAAAUAAUGUUUUCACUUUUUUUCACUUUCACUAUAUUCAAAUAACAAAAUAUU
Long non-coding RNA from Lycium ferocissimum, 736 nucleotides. RefSeq lists it as uncharacterized. The transcript is spliced from 3 exons. NCBI's taxonomy places the organism in Eukaryota, Viridiplantae, Streptophyta, Magnoliopsida, Solanales, Solanaceae. The record is from RefSeq and is a predicted model, not a curated record.